UGGGGAAUAUUGCACAAUGGGCGAAAGCCUGAUGCAGCAACGCCGCGUGAGUGAUGAAGGUCUUCGGAUUGUAAAGCUCUGUCUUUUGGGACGAUAAUGACGGUACCAAAGGAGGAAGCCACGGCUAACUACGUGCCAGCAGCCGCGGUAAUACGUAGGUGGCGAGCGUUGUCCGGAUUUACUGGGCGUAAAGGGUGCGUAGGCGGAUGUUUAAGUGAGAUGUGAAAUACCCGGGCUUAACUUGGGUGCUGCAUUUCAAACUGGAUAUCUAGAGUGCAGGAGAGGAGAAUGGAAUUCCUAGUGUAGCGGUGAAAUGCGUAGAGAUUAGGAAGAACACCAGUGGCGAAGGCGAUUCUCUGGACUGUAACUGACGCUGAGGCACGAAAGCGUGGGUAGCAAACAGGAUUAGAUACCCUGGUAGUCCACGCCGUAAACGAUGAGUACUAGGUGUAGGAGGUAUCGACCCCUUCUGUGCCGCAGUAAACACAUUAAGUACUCCGCCUGGGGGAGUA
This 512-nucleotide ribosomal RNA is filed under the name uncultured bacterium. Its description in RNAcentral is "partial 16S ribosomal RNA". It matches the Rfam family "Bacterial small subunit ribosomal RNA", at positions 355 to 882 of the family's 1533-position model. The record is from RNAcentral.